GACGAAGGAUGCAAGCGUUAUCCGGAUUCAUUGGGUUUAAAGGGAGCGUAGGUGGCCUUAUAAGUCAGUGGUGAAAUCUCUGGGCUUAACCCAGAAAUUGCCAUUGAUACUGUAGGGCUUGAGUAUAGUUGCCGUUGGCGGAAUAUGACAUGUAGUGGUGAAAUACAUAGAGAUGUCAUAGGACACCGAUUGCGAAGGCAGCUAACGAAACUAUAACUGACACUGAGGCUCGAAAGUGCGGGGAUCAAACAGG
This 253-nucleotide ribosomal RNA is filed under the name uncultured bacterium. RNAcentral's name for it is "partial 16S ribosomal RNA". It matches the Rfam family "Bacterial small subunit ribosomal RNA", at positions 524 to 776 of the family's 1533-position model. The record is from RNAcentral.